ACGGCUGGGCCAAAACAGUGCCCCGCGCCGUAUCUGGGAUCGUCGCGCGCGCCAAAUUUCAAAUGUCGCUAUUGAAUAUAACAAGUUUUCAGCCUUAAACUCAACACAAUCAUCAUGUAUUAUAUAUGAAAACAUGCAGAAUUAAAUGGCGCACAUAAAAAAACUCACUACGGCCGGGCCAAAACAGUGCCCCGCGCCGUAUCUGGGAUCGUCGCGCGCGCCAAAUUUCAAAUGUUGCUAUUGAAUAUAACAAGUUUUCAGCCAUAAACUCAACACAAUCAUCAUGUAUUAUAUAUGAAAACAUGCAGAAUUAAAUGGUGCACAUAAAGAAACAUAAAUUAAUUGAUAACUUUGAGAUGUAACCAUAAAUAUAGAGAUAAAAUAACUCGUAUAUUGGCUGAAGCGAGCCAGGGCACAGUAUACACGUCCUCGGAUAUGGUACGGGGCACGCAAGGACGCAAUAUACACGUCCUCAUGUUGAAAGGGUUAAUCAUGAACAAUGAGCUCUUAUGUUAUUUUUAGGCGUGUUGUUAUUUUAUUUCACGAUGUUCUUUGUUAGGUUUUAGCAACACGGCCUUCCACCCUUUCUGUCGUGUUUCUUCCACCACUGUCCGAGCCCAGGUGAGGGUUUGAUUGGUUGUUUAUUUUUAAGUGUGUGCAAUUUAUCUCAGUCACUGCACUAUUUCACGAGAAUCAUAUUUAAGGGGCUAUUACACUGGGCACAUUUUCCGUAGAUCUUCAGUCAAACCACGAUUUCCGCUGGCGUGGUUCUCGAUUGUUUCUUGUUAUUGCUGCUGAUGGUGAUGGUGAGUAAUACCGUCGUCCUUCAGUGAAAUCUACCGUAGCUUUGGAAGAUCGUGGACACGUCAGAAAACCACGGAAAUAUGAGAACCACGCCAGCGGAAAUCGUGGUUUGACUGAAGAUCCAUGGAAAAUUUGCCCAGUGUAACAGCCCCCUAACACAAGCAUCAUAGCACACACAUAUCACUGAGGCGUCUGGCGGAGAAGGGACAAAGCUGUUUCUUCUCGUCUGUGCUGGGAGAGGCAGGAAGGAGGAGAAGGAGAGGAGAGAAAAAUCACAAUGCACUUUUUCGCUAACAAGAAAUACAGAAAAUAAAACAAAUGUGGGUAGAAAAAUCGCAUGAGGUGUCUGGUGGAGAAGGGGGACAAACCCAUUUUUUUUAGUCUGUGCUGGGAGAGGCAGGAAGGAGGAGGAGGAGGAGAGAAAAAUCACAAUGCACUUUUUCGCUAACAAGAAAUACAGAAAAUAAAACAAAUGUGGGUAGAAAAAUCGCAUGAGGUGUCUGGUGGAGAAAGGAGACAAACCCAUUUUUUUUAGUCUGUGCUGGGAGAGGCAGGAAGGAGGAGGAGGAGGAGAGAAAAAUCACAAUGCACUUUUUCGCUAACUAGAAAUACAGAAAAUAAAACAAGGAUGGGAAAAAAAGUCGCAUAAGAGCUGAGUGAGUGGAGUCAACACAGUGAAACCUCCAGUGAUGUAACAGUGACCUUGUAUUUGGUUGCUUUUCCUGUGUAGCUUGUUGUCUGUUCCUCUUGAGAUGUAUAGCCACGUUGCCAGGUCAUCGUACUCAGACCAUAGUAUUUAACGGUUUCCGAUGCCGAACUAUUGCCAAGAAGCAUCAGGAUCUAACUCUUUUAACCCGGUAGCAGCAGGGAUCAUGUUUCUUAAUGGUCCCUCUAAGCGAGAAAAAUGAGAAAAAAUCACCCCUCACACAAACAAUUUCAUAAUAUAUAUCAAAGCAUUUGUGAUCAGUUUAUGUAUCGUCUAUUUUGGGGGGUUAAAAUCAUGGCACAAAUUUGGCCCUUUGCUGCUACAUGGUAAGCCACAAAUUUGGCCCGUCGCUGCUACAUGGUGAAGCUACAAAUUUGGCCUGUUGCAGCUACACGGUAAAGCCACAAAUUUGGCCCGUCGCUGCUACACGGUAAAGCCACAAAUUUGGCCCGUCGCUGCUACACGGUAAUGCCACAAAUUUGGCCCAUCGCUGCUACACGGUAAAGCCACAAAUUUGGCCCGUCGCUGCUACACGGUAAAGCCACAAAUUUGGCCCGUCGCUGCUACACGGUAAAGCCACAAAUUUGGCCCAUCGCUGCUACACGGUAAUGCCACAAAUUUGGCCCAUCGCUGCUACACGGUAAAGCCACAAAUUUGGCCCAUCGCUGCUACAUGGUAAAGCCACAAAUUUGGCCCGUCGCUGCUACCGGGUUAACGAUAACUAUAAAUGAGUUUCGUUAUUGGAGCCCAGAAGACAUUUUUGGGGCAGGAAGUCGGGAAAUAUAAGCGGCUGAGUACGACAAUCUAGCAAUAUCGUGAGUACCCUGGCAUGGAAGAAACAGCUCUGUCCCAUACGCCCCUUCUUCAGACGCCUCACAUUCAUUAUAGCAUGUUCAUCAUAGCAUUCGAACACACAUCCUUUAGCAUUUUCAUAUAUUCUAGAUGUAGCAUUGAUAACAGCACACUCGCAUAUCUGUAAUUUAUAUGUCUACACUUCCUACCAUAAUCAACACACUCGUAUAUCUUUAAUUUAUAUGUUUACACCUUCUAACAUAAUCAACACACUCGUAUAUCUCUAAUUUAUAUGUUGACACUUCCUAACAAAGACCUAUAUCCACAGAGUCUUUCAUUGUUCAAAGCAUUCAGUGAGUUUGUUAGUUGUGGUACGGCACAGACUUUGGUAUUUGUGGUAUUUAUUAAGUUUAUAUAGAUGUGUUGUUUCGAGUCUGGUUUUAAUGUUAACGAAGAAACAGCUGUUGAGAGAGAGAGAGAGAGAGAGAGAGAGAGAGAGAGAGAGAGAGAGAGAGAGAGAGAGAGAGAGAGAGAGAGAGAGAGAGAGAGAGAGAGAGAGAGAGAGAGAGAGAGAGAGAGUAAGGGAAGGAAAGGUGAGUGAGAGGAAAAAAAAUAGAGAAAGAGAGAGAGAGAGAGAGAGAGAGAGAGAGAGAGAGAGAGAGAGAGAGAGAGAGAGAGAGAGAGAGAGAGAGAGAGAGAGACUAUACUAGCCAUUUUUCUUCCAUCCACUAGCGUAACAUCCGUGAAAUGGUCCGCCAAAGAAAAUGCCAAUGGUGCAGACUGUUCACGGCGGUCGGCCAAUAGAGGGUAUGCGUUAACCCUAUCUGGUCCUCCCCUCGCACUCCGAUCAAAACAAUACACUUUUUUGUUUUUUUACGUUCCAGUAGCUUCCUUUCCACUCAUUACUCAUCAUUGUUUUACACUAUUGAUUCGGUACCAGUGCUUAGUGUUCACGAGCGUUCCCGUUGUUCGGAUAAGUGAGUACGAUGCUAGGUGUUACGAGCGCGAAAAUUUGGAUAUGUCGGAGCGGACAGGGUUAAGGCGUUAGUUAGGAGAGGUGGCGGAAGACCUGCGUAUCUUUUUAAUGGAUGGGGAAGGAAAAAAAGGAAUGGUGAACUGUACAAGGAGGAGGAGGAGGAGGAGGAGGAGGGAGAGAGAAGGGACAAAUGUACUUCCUCUCAGACACAAAAUACGGGAAAUAAAUUAUGAACGGAAAUGAAAGUAACGGAAAUAUAAGUAAAGUAAAGUAAAGAAAAGAUAUAAAAGAUAGAAAAAUAACAAUGUACUUUUUCACCAAUAACAAAUACAGGAAAUAAAUUAUGAACGGAGAUAAAAGCAGAUAGAAAAAGAUAGAAAAAUGAUUGAUUGAUUGAUAGUUUAUUGUUGCAGGUAAACAACAAGGGAGAAGGGAGGAACAUGCCAUCCCAACCCCCAGGCAGGACAGAGUGAGAUUAUACAACUAUUAAUACAUGUGUAAAAUAACAAUGUACUUUUUCACCAAUAACAAAUACAGGAAAUAAAUUAAGAAUGGAGAUAAAAGCAGAUAGAAAAAGAUAGAAAAAUAACAAUGUACUUUCUCACCAAUAACAAAUACAGGAAAUAUAUUAAGAACGGAGAUAAAAGCAGAGAAGGAAAGAUUUGAGUUGAGCAAAGAAAUAAAGGAGGAGAAGAAAACGAAAGGAACAGAGAAAUAACAAAGGAACUCUCACAAACACGAAACACGGAAAAUAAAAUGACAGCGGAAAGAAAAGUCACAUACGUAAAGAGCCGAGGGAGUGGCAUCAACGUUGAAAAUUCCAGCGGUGAUGUGACGGUGUAAUGAUCGGAGCUUUUCACACUCGUCAGUACGUAACAAGUUCUAUAUAAAUGUUAAGUAAGGGAGUAUCAAAAUGCCAGCUACGUAACUUCCUGGCGGGCUCUUCGUAGUGGUCAGCCGGGAGCGUUUACACAUUGAUGAGCCGUAAAUGUGAUCUGAAUGUCAUAGGGUUCGGCAAGACUGUGAAGAGGGUUCCCGUAUAAAUAACUCAUAAAUGUUAUCUGAAUGAAGAAGAAGGGGAGGAGUAGGCAAAGACGAAGAAGAAGAGGAGGAGGAGGAGGAGUAGGAGAAGAAGAGGAGGAGGAGGAGAAGAAGAGAAGGAGAAACAAUAAUACAGUUUUUCGAAAUGAUCAGCUUCAAAUGACUACAUAUAAGUAAGCUGAAUGAUUGGUAUUAACCCCAAGAAUAUAUUACUGAUAGUCAGCCUAAACAGUCACUUAAUUAUAAGCUGUAACGGACGGUAUUGUACUCGUAAGCAGCAGUUCGUGGGAGAGCGUGAUCAUGACAUGUGUGAAUGGAAGUGUUGGAGAAGAAAUGAAUGGAUAGUAUUGUGUGGAGAGAAGCAAUUGGUCUUUUAAAUGUAGAUAUGACGAGCGUGAUGUUAAAGGAAGAUUUGUAAGACUGUUGGUGUGUGUUAAUGAUCCGCACUUUGGAUGUAGAUGUGAUUAGGAACUGUUAAAGAAAGAAGAAGGAAAAUAUUUAACAGCUCAGAACAGGUGGAAAAAAUAUAUGAUCUUUUAAAUGUAGAAACAUGAAAGAGAGAUUUGUAAGAUUGUUGGUGUGUGUUAAUGAUCCGCACUUUGGAUGUACAUGUGAUUAGGAACUGUUGAAGAAAGGAGUAGAAAAAUUUAACAGCUGGGAACAGGUGGAAAAAAAUAUAUGAUCUUUUAAAUGCAGAAACAUGAAAGAGAGAUUUGUAAGAUUGUUGGUGUGUGUUAAUGAUUCAAACUUUGGAUGUACAUAUGAUUAGGAACUGUUGAAGAAAGAAGAAGGAAAAUAUUUAACAGCUGGGAACAGGUGAAAAAAAUAUGUGAUCUUUUAAAUGUAGAAACAUGAAAGAGAGAUUUAUAAGAUUGUUGGUGUGUGUUAAUGAUUCAAACUUUGGAUGUACAUGUGAUUAGGAACUGUUGAAGAAAGGAGUAGAAAAAUUUAACAGCUGGGAACAGGUGGAAAAAAUAUAUGAUCUUUUAAAUGCAGAAGCGUGAAAGAGAGAUUUGUAAGAUUGUUGGUGUGUGUUAAUGAUUCAAACUUUGGAUGUACAUAUGUGAUUAGGAACUGUGGAAGAAAGACGAGAAACUGAACAGCUGGGAAUGAGUGGAGAUGCAUAUUUGAUCUAGGUAUGAAGGGCGUCAAUGUGGAAGGAAGAUUUUAUAUGAUUUACAGGUGUUUCAAUGCCUGGGUCUUUGAAUGUAGAUGUGUAUAAGAACUGUUAAGGUACAUAUUUGACCUAGGAAUGAAGAGGGUGAAUGCGGAAGGAAGAUUUUAUAUGAUUUACAAGUGUUUUAAUCCCUGGGUCUUUGAAUGUAGAUGUGUAUAAGUACUGUUAAGGAAUGAGAGAACAGCUGGGAAGGAGUGAAGAUACAUAUUUGAUCUACAUAUGAAGAGCGUCAAUGUAGAAGGAAGAUUUAUACGAUUCACAAGUGUUUUUGAAUGUACAUAUUAUAAAAAAUAGGAACUGUUGAAGCAUCUA
Long non-coding RNA from Eriocheir sinensis (Chinese mitten crab), 5808 nucleotides. RefSeq lists it as uncharacterized. NCBI's taxonomy places the organism in Eukaryota, Metazoa, Arthropoda, Malacostraca, Decapoda, Varunidae. The transcript has 3 exons. The record is from RefSeq and is a predicted model, not a curated record.